Molecule: ribosomal RNA, 484 nt
Filed under: uncultured bacterium
Lineage: Bacteria
Description: partial 16S ribosomal RNA
Rfam family: Bacterial small subunit ribosomal RNA
Source: RNAcentral
AUUGAACGCUGGCGGCAGGCCUAACACAUGCAAGUCGAGCGGAUGAAGGGAGCUUGCUCCUGGAUUCAGCGGCGGACGGGUGAGUAAUGCCUAGGAAUCUGCCUGGUAGUGGGGGAUAACGUCCGGAAACGGGCGCUAAUACCGCAUACGUCCUGAGGGAGAAAGGGGGGGAUCUUCGGACCUCACGCUAUCAGAUGAGCCUACGUCGGAUUAGCUAGUUGGUGGGGUAAGGGCCUACCAAGGCGACGAUCCGUAACUGGUCUGAGAGGAUGAUCAGUCACACUGGAACUGAGACACGGUCCAGACUCCUACGGGAGGCAGCAGUAGGGAAUAUUGGACAAUGGGCGAAAGCCUGAUCCAGCCAUGCCGCGUGUGUGAAGAAGGUCUUCGGAUUGUAAAGCACUUUAAGUUGGGAGGAAGAGCAGUAAGUUAAUACCUUGCUGUUUUGACGUUACCAACAGAAUAAGCACCGGCUAACUUCGUG